This 253-nucleotide ribosomal RNA is filed under the name uncultured bacterium. Its description in RNAcentral is "partial 16S ribosomal RNA". It matches the Rfam family "Bacterial small subunit ribosomal RNA", at positions 524 to 776 of the family's 1533-position model. The record is from RNAcentral.
UACGGGGGGGGCAAGCGUUGUUCGGAAUUACUGGGCGUAAAGGGCGCGUAGGCGGCCUUCUAAGUCGAACGUGAAAUCCCUCGGCUUAACCGGGGAACUGCGUCCGAUACUGGAUGGCUUGAGUUUGGGAGAGGGAUGCGGAAUUCCAGGUGUAGCGGUGAAAUGCGUAGAUAUCUGGAGGAACACCGGUGGCGAAGGCGGCAUCCUGGACCAACACUGACGCUGAUGAGCGAAAGCCAGGGGAGCAAACGGG